GGCCCAGUGGCGGAUGGUCUGCGCCUGCAGAAUGUGCGAAGUUUAUCAUUUGAGCUACAGAAGACGCUCGUUCGAUUCGAGCCUGGGCCA
Non-coding RNA from Mycena rebaudengoi, 90 nucleotides. The record is from the annotation of a GenBank genome assembly. Lineage: Eukaryota; Fungi; Basidiomycota; Agaricomycetes; Agaricales; Mycenaceae.